Non-coding RNA from Helianthus annuus (common sunflower), 88 nucleotides. The record is from Rfam. NCBI's taxonomy places the organism in Eukaryota, Viridiplantae, Streptophyta, Magnoliopsida, Asterales, Asteraceae.
AUCUCUUAUGAUGAUUCAAAAUUAAUAACUUUCAUUCUUCUGAUGUUAACCGUGAUGAAAGUUUUUUGGAGACCUGAACUGAAGAGAU